Molecule: ribosomal RNA, 374 nt
Filed under: uncultured organism
Description: partial 16S ribosomal RNA
Rfam family: Bacterial small subunit ribosomal RNA
Source: RNAcentral
GUAGGUGGCAAGCGUUGUCCGGAAUUAUUGGGCGUAAAGCGCGCGCAGGCGGUUCUUUAAGUCUGAUGUGAAAGCCCACGGCUCAACCGUGGAGGGUCAUUGGAAACUGGAGAACUUGAGUACAGAAGUGGAAAGCGGAAUUCCACGUGUAGCGGUGAAAUGCGUAGAGAUGUGGAGGAACACCAGUGGCGAAGGCGGCUUUCUGGUCUGUAACUGACGCUGAGGCGCGAAAGCGUGGGGAGCAAACAGGGAUUAGAUACCCUGGUAGUCCACGCCGUAAACGAUGAGUGCUAAGUGUUAGGGGGGUUUCCGCCCCCUUAGUGCUGCAGCUAACGCAUUAAGCACUCCGCCUGGGGAGUACGGCCGCAAGGCUG